GUGAGGAAUUUUCCGCAAUGGGCGAAAGCCUGACGGAGCAAUGCCGCGUGAAGGAUGAAGGCCUAUGGGUUGUAAACUUCUUUUCUCAGAAAAGAAUUAUGACGGUAUCUGAUGAAUAAGCAUCGGCUAACUCUGUGCCAGCAGCCGCGGUAAGACAGAGGAUGCAAGCGUUAUCCGGAAUGAUUGGGCGUAAAGCGUCUGUAGGUUGUUUAAAAAGUAUUCUGUCAAAGAUUAGGGCUUAACCCUAGAUAGGCAGAAUAAACUUUUAAGCUAGAGUGUGGUAGAGGCAGAGGGAAUUCCCGGUGGAGCGGUGAAAUGCGUAGAUAUCGGGAGGAACACCAAAGGCGAAGGCACUCUGCUGGGCCAAUACUAACACUGAGAGACGAAAGCGAGGGGAGCAAAUGGGAUUAGAAACCCUUGUAGUCC
RNAcentral lists this ribosomal RNA (426 nucleotides) under uncultured bacterium. Its description in RNAcentral is "partial 16S ribosomal RNA". It matches the Rfam family "Bacterial small subunit ribosomal RNA", at positions 354 to 796 of the family's 1533-position model. The record is from RNAcentral.